This 301-nucleotide ribosomal RNA is filed under the name uncultured bacterium. RNAcentral's name for it is "partial 16S ribosomal RNA". It matches the Rfam family "Bacterial small subunit ribosomal RNA", at positions 509 to 807 of the family's 1533-position model. The record is from RNAcentral.
CAGCCGCCACGGUAAUACGGAGGGUGCAAGCGUUAUCAGGAUUCACUGGGUUUAAAGGGUGCGUAGGCGGGCAGGUAAGUCAGUGGUGAAAUCUUCGAGCUUAACUCGGAAACUGCCGUUGAUACUAUCUGUCUUGAAUAACGUUGAGGUGAGCGGAAUAUGUCAUGUAGCGGUGAAAUGCUUAGAUAUGACAUAGAACACCGAUUGCGAAGGCAGCUCACUAAACGCUCAUUGACGCUGAGGCACGAAAGCGUGGGGAUCAAACAGGAUUAGAUACCCCGGUAGUCCCUGUCUCUUAUAC